AAAAAAUUAGUUAAAAUAUAACAUUAGUUUGUCAAACUAAAAUUAUUAAUAUUAAUAUUUUUUA
RNAcentral lists this transfer RNA (64 nucleotides) under Nycteribia parvula. Its description in RNAcentral is "tRNA-Asp". The record is from RNAcentral. Lineage: Eukaryota; Metazoa; Arthropoda; Insecta; Diptera; Nycteribiidae. RNAcentral also lists the same sequence under 1 other name.